CCUUCGGGUGCGAGUAAAGUGGCGGACGGGUGAGUAACGCGUGGGAAUCUGCCUAGUAGUGGGGGAUAACAAUCGGAAACGGUUGCUAAUACCGCAUACGCCCUACGGGGGAAAGGCUUCGGCCGCUAUUAGAUGAGCCCGCGUAAGAUUAGCUUGUUGGUGGGGUAAUGGCCUACCAAGGCAACGAUCUUUAGCUGGUCUGAGAGGACGAUCAGCCACACUGGGACUGAGACACGGCCCAG
Molecule: ribosomal RNA, 242 nt
Filed under: uncultured bacterium
Lineage: Bacteria
Description: partial 16S ribosomal RNA
Rfam family: Bacterial small subunit ribosomal RNA
Source: RNAcentral